Molecule: microRNA precursor, 104 nt
Filed under: Colletotrichum higginsianum
Lineage: Eukaryota; Fungi; Ascomycota; Sordariomycetes; Glomerellales; Glomerellaceae
Description: microRNA mir-598
Source: RNAcentral
AGAUGAUAUUGAAGUUGAUGUUGAUGCCGAUGUCGAUGGUGUUGAUAUUGUUGUCGUACUCGUAGCUGUCGUCGUCGGUAUCGUCGUCGUCGUCGUCGUCGUCG